GACGAACGCUGGCGGCGUGCUUAACACAUGCAAGUCGAACGGAAAGGCCCUGCUUGCAGGGUACUCGAGUGGCGAACGGGUGAGUAACACGUGGGUGAUCUGCCCUGCACUUCGGGAUAAGCCUGGGAAACUGGGUCUAAUACCGGAUAGGAGCCAUUUUUAGUGUGAUGGUUGGAAAGUUUUUUUCGGUGUAGGAUGAGCUCGCGGCCUAUCAGCUUGUUGGUGGGGUAAUGGCCUACCAAGGCGGCGACGGGUAGCCGGCCUGGGAGGGUGGACGGCCACAUUGGGACUGAGAUACGGCCCAGACUCCUACGGGAGGCAGCAGUGGGGAAUAUUGCACAAUGGGCGCGAGCCUGAUGCAGCGACGCCGCGGGGGGGAUGACGGCCUUCGGGUUGUAAACUCCUUUCGCUAGGGACGAAGCUUUUUGUGACGGUACCUAGAUAAGAAGCACCGGCUAACUACGUG
This 466-nucleotide ribosomal RNA is filed under the name uncultured bacterium. Its description in RNAcentral is "partial 16S ribosomal RNA". It matches the Rfam family "Bacterial small subunit ribosomal RNA", at positions 28 to 507 of the family's 1533-position model. The record is from RNAcentral.